Microtus ochrogaster (prairie vole) is the source of this 2262-nucleotide long non-coding RNA. RefSeq lists it as uncharacterized. NCBI's taxonomy places the organism in Eukaryota, Metazoa, Chordata, Mammalia, Rodentia, Cricetidae. The transcript is spliced from 3 exons. The record is from RefSeq and is a predicted model, not a curated record.
UAACCAGUCGGCGGCGCUGAGCCUGGGGCGCCCUCCGGCCCUGCUGCACUCCCGACGGCCCGCCCCUUCUCCACGGCCAUUGAGUCCACAGAUCAGCAGGAAAAGGACAUAACCUCGCCUGCAAUCUCGUCUUUUGUUUCGAGGCAUUUCUCCGAGGACUCUUUGAAGAUUCUGAUUAGUUCAGGAUCUCCACCUAUGGGCUACCCAGCUACUGCCUGUUAAAAUGCUUGAUAUUUUAUCUUGAAAGAUUCCUAAAUUUUAUUAUUAAUCUCCUAGUAGAUUAGAAGAAUAGUGGUGAGAUGUUAUUACUAAACUUAGCCUUCAGUGUCACAGGAUGGGCAUGGAGGUUGCGAUUGGGGAACGGUAAUGUUGGAGCACUGGGUAAUAUUACCAGCUGAUCCUUGAUAUCAACCCUGCCCUCCUUCCUGACGUCAUCUUAAGGCGUGAAGAGUCUAGUUUGGGCAGCGGUUGUGCUAUAAGGCACUCCAUUCAAGAGUAGGAAAAGGAUAUAACCUCGCCUGCAAUCUUGUCUUUUGUUUCGAGGCAUUUCUCCGAGGACUCUUUGAAGAUUCUGAUUAGUUCAGGUCAUCUAUCUUUUCACCCUUCUCUGCCCAUCCCCCACCCCCAAGUGGUUUCUUGUUAGUAAUCUCAGAGGCCUCUCUUAUCAGGGAUAGCCUUCCCUUCAUUGUUUAUUUUCAAAACACAUUCCUUUCAAUUCUAGAAAAAUUCUCCAAUUUGCAUUGAUUAAGGAGUCAUUUCUUCUUUCCCUGCUUCCUUAGUGGAGAGUGCAGAAUCACGUGCUACCAUCCCUUCUGAUCCACAGCCCUGAUGGCAUGCACAUCUUCUCCACUGACCCUAAAGGAAUAAGAGCUAAGGAAUAACUAAAACUCAGGGCACAGAACCUUCUCUGGAACCAUUUUGCCAGUGCUCAGUAAAGAUAAAUAGAUUACUGCACCCUUUUAUCUCUCCGUCUCACAGCGUUUGCUCUUGAAUGGUAGACACUGAUCAAUACUGUUUUUUUAUUAUUAUUAUUUACUACUACAGGGCUGUUUAGAAGUGGAGAUUUCACUGUUACACUGCAGGAUUCUCUGAUGCAAAGUGGAGUGAGUUCUUGGAGAAGUGUGAACACCGCGUGCUGGGUUUUGCCAUUUCUGUGCGGAGUGAUAAUAGUUGUAUCGGGGAAGAGGGCAGCCUGUGCUUCAGUGAGAGCCUCGUUUUAUUGGCCUUUGGGAGCUGUUAUGGUCUGAACAUGGUUUCUCAUCACCCAAACUGAUCUUGAGGCUUAGCCUCUAAUAUGGCAGUGUUGAGAGUGGUUGGGAUCUUUUAGGGGUAAUUAGGUUGUGGGCACUUUACACUCACAAAGGGAUUAACGUAGCUACCCCAAGGAUGAGUUGCUUAUCCUGUGGAGGCUUGUUAAUAAAGUAAACUGGCUUUCUGUUGCUUCUUUUCUGUCCAUUCAGCUCUUCUGUAGGAACCUGCUCCAGCUUCUCUCCCGUCUUUGCCCAUGCGCAGCAUAGAGCCCUCACUUUAGAGGCCCCACACAGAUGCUGGUGCCAUGCUUUUGGGCCUACAGAAUUGUAAGCUAUGUAAAUAUCUUUUCUUUAUAUAUUUCCAGACAUAGCAAGAAACGGAAAACAGUGUGAGACAGGAACCAACCCUCCUUAUCCUGCGAAGCGUUGUCUGCUGAGUCUGGUCCUGGCUGCUCACUCCCCAGUGCUUCCCUGGCUCAGAGUGAUGUGGCAAGCACAAAUUGGCCUCCUUUGCAUAUUCCAUUGUGCAGAUGUGUGGUGUCUUGCCUUGGAACAGAAGGAAGUAAGAAAGUGUUGAGCUGAAUCAUAUUGGAGCCUAAGGCAAAAGAAAAAAAAUCAAUAAUACAGAUCCUUCCUUAUUAAAAAUUUCAUAUCUUGUUCAUGAAUUUUGCUUUUUGAUCAUACAGUGUUGUAUUGAAAUACUAUUUUGAUUACCAGGUUUUAUGGUGCUCUUUUAAAUUCUGCUCCCAAAGUGACCUCAUUUGUCGCACCUGAGUCUGGGCAAAAGGCUAUGUAGGUGAUGGUUUUGAUUAUAAAGUGGUGUGCAGGACCUAGGUGUGUAUACUUGUUUUUUCAUGGUAUUCUAGGGGACUGGAACUGACAAAAGGAUGAUAUUGCAUCUGUGGGUGGGAUUUGAAGACCCUUUUGAAAUGUCUCUCUUCAGCCAUAAAAACAUCUCCUACCCGUUUCUGGAACCUUAGUUUUUUUACAAAAUUAAGUUGUGUGACUUAAA